RNA transcript from Acinonyx jubatus (cheetah), 7034 nucleotides. It is a transcript of the gene named proline rich coiled-coil 2A, with no coding region annotated. NCBI's taxonomy places the organism in Eukaryota, Metazoa, Chordata, Mammalia, Carnivora, Felidae. The record is from RefSeq and is a predicted model, not a curated record. The transcript is spliced from 30 exons.
GUGGGGGGGGUGCUCCCGGGGGCGGCGGUUGCCCGGAUGGGCCGUUAGUCGGAGCCCAGCCGCGGAGUGAGCGAGGGAGACGGGAGGAGCCGAACCCGGCGCCAUCCGCCGCCAUCCGCCCCCGCCCCACCGCCAUCCCACCUCGGGGAGCCCCUAGGCCCCGGUCCCGGACCCCCGCGCACCCGGCCAGGCUCCGGCACGUUUUGGGGGAGGUGCCUGCAGGACCCAACGUACUCAAUGAGCUUCCAGCGCAAUGUCCGAUCGCUCGGGGCCGACUGCCAAGGGGAAGGAUGGAAAGAAGUAUUCCUCGCUCAACCUGUUUGAUACGUAUAAGGGCAAGUCCUUAGAGAUCCAGAAACCCGCUGUUGCCCCUCGCCAUGGCCUGCAGAGUCUCGGGAAAGUUGCCAUUGCCCGGCGUAUGCCACCCCCAGCCAACCUUCCAAGCCUGAAAGCCGAGAACAAAGGCAAUGACCCCAACGUCUCACUAGUGCCGAAAGACGGAACAGGAUGGGCAAGCAAACAGGAGCAGUCCGACCCCAAGAGUUCCGAUGCCUCAACCGCUCAGCCGCCGGAAUCGCAGCCACUGCCGGCUUCACAGACGCCUGCCUCCAACCAACAGAAACGACCCCCAGCAGCCCCCGAGAACGCUCCUUCGGUUCCAAGCGGGGUAAAGUCCUGGGCACAAGCCAGCGUCACCCAUGGAGCACAUGGAGAUGGUGGAAGGGCAUCAAGCCUACUGUCACGAUUCUCUCGCGAGGAAUUUCCGACCCUGCAGGCGGCUGGCGACCAGGACAAGGCUGCCAAGGAAAGGGAGUCUGCCGAACAGUCGUCUGGGCCCGGACCAAGCCUCCGCCCCCAAAAUUCUACAACUUGGAGGGACGGAGGUGGGCGUGGCCCUGAUGAGCUGGAGGGCCCAGACUCCAAACUUCAUCACAGCCAUGAUCCCCGGGGGGCGCUACAGCCUUCAGGCCCACCCCAGUUCCCUCCAUACCGCGGAAUGAUGCCGCCCUUUAUGUAUCCCCCGUAUCUCCCGUUCCCUCCGCCCUAUGGACCCCAGGGGCCUUACCGAUAUCCUACUCCUGAUGGGCCCAGCCGUUUCCCUCGUGUGGCGGGCCCUCGGGGCUCAGGGCCGCCGAUGCGCCUUGUAGAACCUGUGGGUCGGCCUUCGAUUCUUAAAGAGGAUAAUCUCAAAGAGUUUGACCAGUUGGACCAGGAGAACGAUGAUGGUUGGGCAGGGGCCCAUGAAGAGGUUGACUACACUGAAAAGCUCAAGUUCAGUGAUGAGGAAGAUGGGCGAGACUCUGAUGAGGAGGGAGCUGAGGGCCACAAGGAGUCCCAAUCAGCUGCUGGUGAGGAACGGCCCCCUGAAGCAGAUGGCAAAAAGGGCAACUCCCCCGGCAGCGAACCGCCCCCUCCCAAGACGGCCUGGGCAGAGACCUCUCGGCCUCCAGAGACAGAGCCGGGGCCUCCUGCCCCAAAGCCUCCCCCACCCCCACCUCACCGGGGCCCCGCCGGGAACUGGGGCCCCCCUGGGGACUACCCAGAUCGGGGGGGGCCUCCCUGCAAGCCCCCAGCACCCGAAGACGAGGAUGAGGCCUGGCGGCAGCGGCGAAAACAAUCUUCAUCAGAGAUCUCCUUGGCUGUGGAGCGGGCCCGGCGACGCCGAGAAGAGGAAGAGCGCCGCAUGCAGGAGGAACGCCGGGCAGCCUGUGCCGAAAAGCUCAAGCGACUUGAUGAGAAGUUUGGGGCGCCCGACAAGCGGCUCAAAGCAGAGCCUGCUGUCCCACCUGCUGCCCUUCCUGCCCCGGCUCCACCACCUGCAGUCCCCAAAGAACUCUCUGCGCCUCCAGUUCCUCCACCAGCACCAGCCCCAACACCAGAAAAAGAACCAGAAGAGCCGGCCCAGGCCCCUCCUGCCCAGUCCACCCCCACUACAGGUGUGGCUCCAGCUCCCACCCUGGUGAGUGGUGGUGGCAGUACCAGUAGCACCAGCAGUGGCAGCUUCGAAGCCAGCCCAGUGGAACCCCAGCUAUCCUCAAAAGAGGGUUCUGAACAACCAGAAGAGGUUCCUUCUCCUGCCACAACCCCUGCCCCAAAGGUGGAACCCAAGGGUGAUGGGGUUGGUCCCAGCCGACAGCCCCUCAGCCAGGGCUUGGGCUACCCCAAAUAUCAGAAGUCAUUGCCACCUCGUUUCCAGCGGCAGCAGCAGGAGCAGCUUUUGAAGCAACAGCAACAGCAGCAGUGGCAGCAGCAUCAACAGGGUUCUGCCCCACCCGCUCCGGUACCACCAUCACCGCCCCAGCCUGUGACCAUGGGGGCUGUGCCAGCUCCACAGGCUCCGCCCCCACCCCCCAAGGCCCUGUACCCAGGUGCUCUGGGCCGGCCCCCACCCAUGCCCCCAAUGAACUUUGAUCCCCGGUGGAUGAUGAUUCCUCCUUAUGUGGACCCCCGGCUCCUCCAGGGCCGGCCCCCUCUGGACUUCUACCCUCCUGGUGUGCAUCCCACUGGCUUAGUUCCCCGGGAGCGCUCAGACAGUGGGGGUUCAAGCUCAGAGCCGUUCGAGCGCCAUGCACCUCCCCUGUUGCGGGAUCGGGGCACCCCACCAGUGGAUCCAAAGUUGGCCUGGGUAGGAGAUGUCUUCACCACCACGCCCACUGACCCCCGCCCGCUCACCUCCCCACUGCGCCAGGCGGCUGAUGAGGAUGACAAGGGGAUGAGGAGUGAGACUCCUCCAGUACCUCCCCCACCACCCUAUUUGGCCAGUUAUCCAGGCUUUCCUGAGAAUGGAGCCACUGGGCCCCCGAUCCCUCGCUUCCCUCUGGAUGAACCAGCUCCUGCAGGGCCUCGUCCACUCCCUUGGCCCCCAGGCAAUGAUGAAGCCACCAAAAUACAAGCUCCCCCGCCGAAGAAGGAAACCCCCAAGGAGGAGACUCCACAACUGACGGGGCCAGAAGCCAACCGAAAGCCUACCCGAGGAGUUGGAGGCCAAGGCCCCCCUCCACCUCGCAGAGAGAGCCGCACUGAGACCCGCUGGGGUCCUCGCCCAGGCAGUAGUCGUCGUGGGAUCCCUCCAGAGGAACCAGGGGCCCCUCCCCGCCGUGCUGGGCCUAUAAAGAAACCCCUGCCACCUACGAAAGCUGAAGAGCUCCCUCCCAAACCCCUGGAACAGUGUGAUGAAAGCCCCAAGGUUCCAAAGCCAGACCUCCUCAAGACGGCAAAGGGGAAGAUAGGGGUCCCCAAGGAGACCCCACCCAGUGGGAAUCUUUCCCCUGCCCCAAGGCUUCGGAGGGACUACUCCUAUGAAAGAGUGGGUCCUACCUCUUGCCGGGGCCGGGGCCGAGGCGAGUAUUUUGCCAGAGGGAGGGGUUUUCGGGGCACCUAUGGGGGCCGGGGGCGGGGAGCCCGAAGCCGAGAGUUCCGCAGUUACCGAGAGUUCCGAGGAGAUGACGGGCGUGGAGGUAGUGCAGGUGGACCCAGCCAUCCCCCUGCUCCCAGAGGCCGCACUGCCAGCGAGACGCGAAGUGAGGGUUCGGAGUAUGAAGAAAUCCCCAAACGGCGCCGGCAGCGGGGCUCAGAAACGGGUAGUGAGACCCAUGAGAGCGAUCUGGCCCCCUCAGACAAGGAGGCUCCUCCACCCAAGGAAGGAGUGCUCACCCAGGUUCCUCUUGCUCCUCCACCAUCGGGAGCCCCUCCUUCACCAGCCCCAGCCCGAUUUUCCACCGCCCGUGGUGGGCGCGUCUUCACUCCCAGGGGAGUGCCGUCACGCCGGGGUCGAGGAGGAGGGCGGCCCCCUCCGCCCAUUUGUCCAGGCUGGAGCCCUCCAACCAAGUCCCUGGCCCCCAAGAAGCCUCCGACAGCUCCUUUGCCACCGAGUAAGGAGCCUUUGAAAGAGAAGCUGAUCACAGGUCCUCUGUCCCCCAUAGCCCGGGGAGGCAGCAGUGGAGGCAGCAACGUGGGCAUGGGUGUGGAAGACGGGGAGCGGCCCCGACGGAGGAGGCACGGGAGGGCUCAGCAGCAGGACAAACCGCCUCGGUUCAGGAGGCUGAAACAGGAACGGGAGAAUGCAGCCAGAGGGACUGAGGGCAAGCCCUCUUCCCUAGCCCUUCCAGCCCCUGCCUCUGGAGUGGAGGAGACACUCACGACAGUUUCCAUGCCCCCACCCCCGCGCCGGGCAGCUGCCAAGUCUCCCGAUCUGUCAAACCAGAACUCCGAUCAAGCCAACGAGGAAUGGGAGACUGCGUCAGAGAGCAGCGACUUUGCCAGUGAGCGCAGGGGGGACAAGGAGGCUCCCCCACCAGCAUUGCUGGCCCCCAAAGCUGUGGGAACUCCCGGGGGCAGUGGAGGCGGAACCGGACCAGGCAUUUCAACCAUGUCCCGUGGAGAUUUAAGCCAGAGAGCCAAGGAUUUGAGCAAGCGGAGCUUCUCAAGUCAGCGGCCUGGCAUGGAAAGGCAGAACCGGCGCCCAGUCCCUGGCAGCAAGGCUGGCAGCAGUGGCAGCAGCAGUGGAGGAGGUGGGGGACCUGGAGGGAGGACUGGCCCAGGGCGAGGAGACAAGAGGAGCUGGCCCUCUCCCAAGAACCGAAGACCUGAGGAGCGUCCCCCAGGGCUUCCUCUGCCUCCCCCGCCUCCCAGCAGCUCGGCUGUCUUCCGCCUGGACCAAGUUAUCCACAGCAACCCUGCUGGCAUCCAACAGGCUCUGGCCCAACUCAGCAGCCGCCAAGGGAGUGCAGCUGCACCAGGGGGGCACCCAAGGCCCAAGCCUGGGCCUCCCCAAACCCCCCAGGGCCCCUCCCCUCGGCCCCCAACUCGAUAUGACCCUCAGAGGGCCAACAACAGCGUCGGUUCGGACCCCCACUUCGAGGAGCCAGGGCUGAUGGUGAGGGGGGUGGGCGGAACUCCCCGGGACUCUGCCGGGGUUAAUCCCUUCCCCCCGAAACGGCGGGAGCGGCCUCCCAGAAAACCGGAGCUGCUGCAGGAGGAAUCUUUGCCGCAGUCUCAUAGUUCUGGAUUUUUGGGCCCCAAGCCUGAGGGCCCAGGCCCUCAGGGAGAGUGCAGAGAGGCAGGGACAGAGGCCCUGACUCCUCACAUCUGGAACCGUUUACAUACUGCCGCUAGCCGGAAGAGUUACCGGCCUGGCUCCAUGGAGCCCUGGAUGGAACCCUUGAGCCCUUUUGAGGAUGUUGCUGGAACAGAGAUGAGUCAGUCUGACAGUGGGGUGGACCUGAGUGGGGAUUCUCAGGUGUCAUCAGGUCCCUGCAGCCAGCGAAGUUCCCCUGAUGGAGGACUCAAGGGGGCAGCAGAGGGGCCUCCCAAGCGGCCUGGAGACCCCUCACCCCUGAAUGCUGUUCCUGGUGAGGGUUCACCUGGCUCUGAAUCCUCUGAACCUCCUAGGAGACGGCCACCUGCUCCCCUUGAUGGGGACAGAAAGGAGCUGCCCCGGGAGCAGCCUUUGCCCCCUGGCCCCAUUGGCACAGAACGGUUGCAGCGUUCGGACCGAGGCCCAGAGCCCGGCUCCCUCCGGCCGUCCCAUCGAUCUGGGCCCCCGGUCCAGUUUGGCACCAGUGACCAGGACUCGGACUUGCGCCUAGUGGUAGGAGACAGUUUAAAAGCAGAGAAGGAGUUAGCAUCAGUCACUGAGGCCAUCCCUGUAUCCCGAGAUUGGGAGUUACUCCCCAGUGCUUCUGCCUCAGCUGAGCCACAGUCCAAGAACCUGGGUCCUGGGCACUGUGGCCCAGAGCCCAGUUCCUCAGGCCAGCGUUUGUACCCUGAGGUCUUCUAUGGCAGCCCUGGGCCUCCCAAUUCUCAGGUCUCAGGGGGAGCCAUAGACUCUCAGUUACAUCCCAACAAUGGAGGCUUCCGCCCUGGGACACCCUCACUUCACCCUUACAGAUCACAGCCCCUGUACCUCCCCCCGGGCCCAGCGCCCCCCUCGGCACUGCUUUCUGGGGUAGCUGUCAAGGGCCAGUUUUUGGAUUUCUCCGCACUGCAAGCAACAGAGCUGGGGAAGCUGCCAGCUGGGGGAAUCCUCUACCCUCCACCUUCCUUCCUCUACUCUCCAGCUUUCUGCCCCAGCCCUUUGCCCGACCCACCCUUGCUUCAGGUGCGCCAGGAUCUGCCAUCCCCCUCAGAUUUUUAUUCUCCUCUGCAACCUGGUGGCCAAAGUGGGUUCCUCCCCUCAGGGGCCCCUGCCCAACAGAUGCUUCUACCCAUGGUAGACUCACAGCUGCCUGUGGUGAACUUUGGCUCCCUGCCACCAGCGCCACCUCCUGCCCCACCGCCCCUUUCUCUGUUACCUGUGGGCCCUGCUCUGCAGCCCCCCAGCCUGGCUGUGCGGCCCCCACCUGCUCCUGCUACUCGGGUGCUGCCUUCACCUGCCAGACCCUUCCCCCCUAGCUUGGGGCGAGCCGAGCUGCACCCAGUGGAACUAAAGCCCUUCCAGGAUUAUCGGAAACUGAGCAGCAACCUUGGGGGACCUGGGUCGUCACGUACUCCCCCAGUUGGAAGGCAAGAGGAGGGAGUGGGGAUGCAGACUGCUCACCCUUAAGGGCUUUCUUACUAAGGGGCCAGGGAACAAGGGUCAGGCUUGCCUUAAAAACUUUUUCCUUUAGGUCAUUCUCUGGCCUCAAUUCCCGUCUCAAGGCCCCACCAUCUACCUAUAGCGGAGUCUUCCGCACCCAGCGCAUCGACCUCUACCAGCAGGCCUCCCCACCGGAUGCCCUGCGCUGGAUGCCGAAGCCUUGGGAGCGGACAGGGCCACCUUCUCGAGAGGGGCCUUCCCGACGGGCAGAGGAGCCUGGGUCUCGAGGGGACAAGGAUCCUGGGUUGCCCCCACCCCGCUGAGGGAGUUCCCCUUGCCCCCCACCCCCCGGGGCUUGUAUAUAGAUUAUAAAUAUAUAAGGGGGAAAGGGGUGGGUGGGGAGGGGUUGUGGGGCUGGGGCCCCACUUCCCCUCCACCCCCCUCCCCUGGUCCCCUAUCCCUGGGGCCGUUUGUUAAAAAAGAGUAAUAAAAGGAUUAAAAAAUUUUUCUGAAAUGA